AGUGGGGAAUAUUGGACAAUGGGCGCAAGCCUGAUCCAGCCAUGCCGCGUGAGUGAUGAAGGCCCUAGGGUUGUAAAGCUCUUUCACCGGUGAAGAUAAUGACGGUAACCGGAGAAGAAGCCCCGGCUAACUUCGUGCCAGCAGCCGCGGUAAUACGAAGGGGGCUAGCGUUGUUCGGAAUUACUGGGCGUAAAGCGCACGUAGGCGGGUAUUUAAGUCAGGGGUGAAAUCCCAGAGCUCAACUCUGGAACUGCCUUUGAUACUGGGUACCUAGAGUAUGGAAGAGGUGAGUGGAAUUCCGAGUGUAGAGGUGAAAUUCGUAGAUAUUCGGAGGAACACCAGUGGCGAAGGCGGCUCACUGGUCCAUUACUGACGCUGAGGUGCGAAAGCGUGGGGAGCAAA
RNAcentral lists this ribosomal RNA (402 nucleotides) under uncultured Shinella sp. RNAcentral's name for it is "bacterial SSU rRNA". It matches the Rfam family "Bacterial small subunit ribosomal RNA", at positions 353 to 772 of the family's 1533-position model. Lineage: Bacteria; Pseudomonadati; Pseudomonadota; Alphaproteobacteria; Hyphomicrobiales; Rhizobiaceae. The record is from RNAcentral.